UGGGAAUAUUGGACAAUGGGCGCAAGCCUGAUCCAGCAAUGCCGCGUGUGUGAAGAAGGCCCUCGGGUUGUAAAGCACUUUUAUCAGGAGCGAAAUCUGCAAGGCUAAUACCCUUGUAGUCUGACGGUACCUGAGGAAUAAGCACCGGCUAACUCCGUGCCAGCAGCCGCGGUAAUACGGAGGGUGCAAGCGUUAAUCGGAAUUACUGGGCGUAAAGCGUGUGUAGGCGGUUUGUUAAGUCUGUUGUGAAAAGCCCCGGGCUCAACCUGGGAAUGGCAAUGGAUACUGGCAAGCUAGAGUGUGAUAGAGGAUGGUGGAAUUCCCGGUGUAGCGGUGAAAUGCGUAGAGAUCGGGAGGAACAUCAGUGGCGAAGGCGGCCAUCUGGAUCAAACACUGACGCUGAGACACGAAAAGCGUGGGGAGCAAAACAGGAUUAGAUACCCUGGUAGUCCACGCCCUAAAACGAUGCGAACUGGAUGUUGGUCUCAAACUCGGAGAUCAGUGUCGAAAGCUAACGCGUUAAAGUUCGCCGCCUGGGGGAGUACGGUCGC
RNAcentral lists this ribosomal RNA (551 nucleotides) under uncultured bacterium. RNAcentral describes it as "partial 16S ribosomal RNA". It matches the Rfam family "Bacterial small subunit ribosomal RNA", at positions 356 to 889 of the family's 1533-position model. The record is from RNAcentral.